RNAcentral lists this ribosomal RNA (1554 nucleotides) under Escherichia coli. Its description in RNAcentral is "bacterial SSU rRNA". It matches the Rfam family "Bacterial small subunit ribosomal RNA". The record is from RNAcentral. Lineage: Bacteria; Pseudomonadati; Pseudomonadota; Gammaproteobacteria; Enterobacterales; Enterobacteriaceae.
UUAAAUUGAAGAGUUUGAUCAUGGCUCAGAUUGAACGCUGGCGGCAGGCCUAACACAUGCAAGUCGAACGGUAACAGGAAACAGCUUGCUGUUUCGCUGACGAGUGGCGGACGGGUGAGUAAUGUCUGGGAAACUGCCUGAUGGAGGGGGAUAACUACUGGAAACGGUAGCUAAUACCGCAUAACGUCGCAAGACCAAAGAGGGGGACCUUCGGGCCUCUUGCCAUCGGAUGUGCCCAGAUGGGAUUAGCUUGUUGGUGGGGUAACGGCUCACCAAGGCGACGAUCCCUAGCUGGUCUGAGAGGAUGACCAGCCACACUGGAACUGAGACACGGUCCAGACUCCUACGGGAGGCAGCAGUGGGGAAUAUUGCACAAUGGGCGCAAGCCUGAUGCAGUCAUGCCGCGUGUAUGAAGAAGGCCUUCGGGUUGUAAAGUACUUUCAGCGGGGAGGAAGGGAGUAAAGUUAAUACCUUUGCUCAUUGACGUUACCCGCAGAAGAAGCACCGGCUAACUCCGUGCCAGCAGCCGCGGUAAUACGGAGGGUGCAAGCGUUAAUCGGAAUUACUGGGCGUAAAGCGCACGCAGGCGGUUUGUUAAGUCAGAUGUGAAAUCCCCGGGCUCAACCUGGGAACUGCAUCUGAUACUGGCAAGCUUGAGUCUCGUAGAGGGGGGUAGAAUUCCAGGUGUAGCGGUGAAAUGCGUAGAGAUCUGGAGGAAUACCGGUGGCGAAGGCGGCCCCCUGGACGAAGACUGACGCUCAGGUGCGAAAGCGUGGGGAGCAAACAGGAUUAGAUACCCUGGUAGUCCACGCCGUAAACGAUGUCGACUUGGAGGUUGUGCCCUUGAGGCGUGGCUUCCGGAGCUAACGCGUUAAGUCGACCGCCUGGGGAGUACGGCCGCAAGGUUAAAACUCAAAUGAAUUGACGGGGGCCCGCACAAGCGGUGGAGCAUGUGGUUUAAUUCGAUGCAACGCGAAGAACCUUACCUGGUCUUGACAUCCACGGAAGUUUUCAGAGAUGAGAAUGUGCCUUCGGGAACCGUGAGACAGGUGCUGCAUGGCUGUCGUCAGCUCGUGUUGUGAAAUGUUGGGUUAAGUCCCGCAACGAGCGCAACCCUUAUCCUUUGUUGCCAGCGGUCCGGCCGGGAACUCAAAGGAGACUGCCAGUGAUAAACUGGAGGAAGGUGGGGAUGACGUCAAGUCAUCAUGGCCCUUACGACCAGGGCUACACACGUGCUACAAUGGCGCAUACAAAGAGAAGCGACCUCGCGAGAGCAAGCGGACCUCAUAAAGUGCGUCGUAGUCCGGAUUGGAGUCUGCAACUCGACUCCAUGAAGUCGGAAUCGCUAGUAAUCGUGGAUCAGAAUGCCACGGUGAAUACGUUCCCGGGCCUUGUACACACCGCCCGUCACACCAUGGGAGUGGGUUGCAAAAGAAGUAGGUAGCUUAACCUUCGGGAGGGCGCUUACCACUUUGUGAUUCAUGACUGGGGUGAAGUCGUAACAAGGUAACCGUAGGGGAACCUGCGGUUGGAUCACCUCCUUACCUUAAAGAA